Molecule: unclassified non-coding RNA, 1071 nt
Filed under: Neodiprion pinetum (white pine sawfly)
Lineage: Eukaryota; Metazoa; Arthropoda; Insecta; Hymenoptera; Diprionidae
Description: uncharacterized LOC124216873, transcript variant X2
Source: RNAcentral
CAGAUGCCGUGGCUGAAACAAUCAAUGAUGAGAAGUAAAUUAGUUUCGUGUUUGAAAAAUACGUCAUCUAUCCACACGCACGGUGAUGCCAUGGCGAAAAUAAUUCCUACGUCAAACUGCGAAAAACUGCAGGGUAUCUCCAAAUCCAGGAUACAGCCAACCAACACGCGGAAAUAAUUCGGACCAUUUGAUUAAAAAUAUGAGGAGCUUUUGAAAAGUUACAAAAACAAAAUACCGUACUAAUUUCGUCUGGAAACCUUCUGCAAUCAUCCACGAAGUGUAACUGAAGGGGUGGAGAAAAUAAAGUGGAUGCGAUGAAAUCCUGAAAAUCAAAGUAGCAGCUAUCAAACACCUAGAAUGACGAUGCCAACUCGGUGCAUCUCUGUAAGUCCAUAGUUUUGGAUGAGUGAGGAAAAUUGAUAUAAUUUUCUGUACUCCCGGAUUGGAGUCCGAAAAAUGAAUAUGAAGAAGGUGUUUGAUUAAAGGUACAAGAGGUCAAGUCCUGCAGCAGGCAUGACAAAACUUUGGGAAUUUGAUAAGGAUAAGGAAAUCCUUUCCGGACACGUGAGACCCACAGAGAGGUAACGAAGUCAUCAGAAAAAGACCGAAAAAUCUUUCGUCUCAGAAUCGAAUUGCAUGACUCUUUCUGAACUGAUUGAUUCCUCAGGAAUGGGAAAAAGAGAUAUGGACGAGCAAACUAGCAACAGUUUAGGAGAUACAAAUAAAAAAUACGGACAACAUCAAUUCUUUAUUAAUUUUAAUACAUGUUACGUGGAAUGGAGACAAUGCAAUACAAUACGUCACACAUCGUAUCGUGCGAGGGCUGAUUGCAGCUCUACGCAGGCCGAUACCUAGGCUAUAUUUUGUAACUAUAACAACAACUGUCUGUUACGGUAUAUUUCAAAUUUUGCUGAGGACAAUGUAUACUGCACAUCAGUAUCCACACGAGACAAUUUAAUUUCUUCUGUGAAGUUUAACCAGAUCAUUGCGGUCCUCUUUGUCUCUCACAGUAAUUCUAUUAGUAAUUUUGUAAAAUAACUACACAUUGACACGUGCAAACUUGUAUUGCAA